AACGAACGCUGGCGGCAUGCUUAACACAUGCAAGUCGAACGCUCUUAGCCUUUCGGGGCGACAGAGAGUGGCAGACGGGUGAGGAACGCGUGGGAACAUACCUUGUAGUGGGGAAUAACGGUUGGAAACGAUCGCUAAUACCGCAUAAGCCCGAGAGGGGAAAGGAGCAAUUCGCUAUAGGAGUGGCCCGCGUUAGAUUAGGUAGUUGGUGGGGUAAAGGCCUACCAAGCCUGUGAUCUAUAGCUGAUUUGAGAGGAUGAACAGCCGCACUGGGACUGAGACACGGCCCAGAUUCCUACGGGAGGAAGCAGUGGGGAAUAUUGGACAAUGGGGGAAACCCUGAUCCAGAAAUGCCGCGUGAAUGAUGAAGGCCUUCGGGUUGUAAAGUUCUUUUACCUGAGAAGAUAAUGACGGUAUCAGGGGAAAAAGCACCGGCUAACUUCGUGCCAGCCGCCGCCGUAA
This 462-nucleotide ribosomal RNA is filed under the name uncultured bacterium. Its description in RNAcentral is "partial 16S ribosomal RNA". It matches the Rfam family "Bacterial small subunit ribosomal RNA", at positions 29 to 523 of the family's 1533-position model. The record is from RNAcentral.